GAUGAACGCUGGCGGCGUGCUUAACACAUGCAAGUCGAACGAAGCUGCUAAAAGGAAGUCUUCGGACAGAAUUUUAGUAGACUUAGUGGCGGACGGGUGAGUAACGCGUGGAUAACCUGCCUUAUACAGGGGGAUAACGGAGAGAAAUUUCCGCUAAGACCGCAUAAGACCACAGCACCGCAUGGUGCAGGGGUAAAAUAUUUAUAGGUAUAAGAUGGAUCCGCGUCCGAUUAGCUAGUUGGUGAGGUAGAGGCUCACCAAGGCGACGAUCGGUAGCCGGCCUGAGAGGGUGAACGGCCACAUUGGGACUGAGACACGGCCCAAACUCCUACGGGAGGCAGCAGUGGGGAAUAUUGGACAAUGGGGGAAACCCUGAUCCAGCGACGCCGCGUGAGUGAAGAAGUAUUUCGGUAUGUAAAGCUCUAUCAGCGGGGAAGAAAAUGACGGUACCUGACUAAGAAGCCCCGGCUAACUACGUGCCAGCAGCCGCGGUAAUACGUAGGGGGCAAGCGUUAUCCGGAUUUACUGGGUGUAAAGGGAGCGCAGACGGCGAAGCAAGUCUGAAGUGAAAUGCAUGGGCUCAACCCAUGAAUUGCUUUGGAAACUGUUUGGCUUGAGUGUCGGAGGGGUAAGCGGAAUUCCUAGUGUAGCGGUGAAAUGCGUAGAUAUUAGGAGGAACACCGGAGGCGAAGGCGGCUUACUGGACGACAACUGACGUUGAGGCUCGAAGGCGUGGGGAGCAAACAGG
RNAcentral lists this ribosomal RNA (748 nucleotides) under uncultured Lachnospiraceae bacterium. RNAcentral's name for it is "bacterial SSU rRNA". It matches the Rfam family "Bacterial small subunit ribosomal RNA", at positions 28 to 776 of the family's 1533-position model. Lineage: Bacteria; Bacillati; Bacillota; Clostridia; Lachnospirales; Lachnospiraceae. The record is from RNAcentral.